GAGGGAAGACCAAACAUCACUUCGGAAGCAUCAGAAUUUUGAAAAUAUUAAUCUAGAGAAUGUCUCCCUGCCCAAGAAAUUUCACAAAGCCACCAAUCUGAAUCAUCAUCACAGAUGAAGCUGAAAGGACCACAGUCAUUGAGCAGGGAAUUGAAGGAAGAGAAAGGACAAUCUCAGGUUUAAGGCCUCAAUACCUCAUGGAACCAUAAUCUGAAUAUGAAGUAAUGAUGGGUGACACUCAGGAUUUCAAGACCCCAUUCAAACAAAAUUAAGCUUCUAUGAAACUGCUUUGUCUGCAAAAAUAGAACUGGAAGCAGCAGGAAAACAUCUGGUUUCAUAAUAUUUUGCCAUUGUCUCUGGCCCUAGCCAGUACCCAGAAAUGCUGAAUCAAGUAAAAUAGUAUGCAUUGCUAAUUCAUUUUUCAAACCUCUGAAAAGGAUCAGAUUGAAGUGGGUGUGAAUGUUAGGAAAGAGAGGCAGGUAGAAGUCUAAGAGCAGGGUUUUUUUAAUCUGAAUAGAGUUCUCUCAUUUCUUAGGAAAUUUUAUGCCUAGUAUUAUUUGCCUUUUGAGCCUAAUUGGUUCCCCUGAAGUCAGUGAUGGAUCAGGCAUAUCUUUUUGAGUUUGUAUUGUUUGGCACCAGAGAAGAAGAUAGGGCAAAUUGGCUUCUAUCUAACUUGCUAAUGAUUAUUGGAUAUGCUCCCAUUCUCUCUAAGUUGUUUUCCAUUUGAGAGUUAUUCUUCUUAGAAUCGGAGAUUCCAAAUUGGCCAAUUCAGUUUCCUUUUCUGUAGAUUGAGGCAGCAGCUGCCCUGAAUUCAAAUUUUUCUCUGGAUUUUUGAUACAGUGGUUUCAUAAACAGGUAAUUUAGGACUAUGGCAUCUAGCAGUCAGCAGGCUUGUGAAUUCUUCUUAGUUGGAGAUCCCAUUUCCUUUUACUUAUAACUGUGUUGAAGUUUUGCCAGGGACUGUACCUUUUAUUAGACCAAGUCAAAUAGUUGGUCUAAUAAAAGAUAUCAGAUUUACCCAAAGCACCUUGUCUGCCUAUGUCCUUAGACCAACACAGUUACAACCUAUACUCCAGGGUCUGGGGAGCCCCUCUAGCUCCUGUGGGACGCUCCAUCCAUUCCACCAUCGCAGCAUUUAUGAGCUGGCUGGUACCUUGAGGUAUGUAGAAAAACAUUUAAAGCUGUGUCUAUGUCUGAAUCACAGAAUCUUUCCAAAUCUCUCCAAAUCGAUUUGGAGGGUUCUGAUUUGAUUCGGAGAGAUUAAAGGGUCUCCUGAUUCAAGUCAGAGUCAGAGAUUCGGCCACUGAAUAGGGCUGAAUCUCUGCCAAAUUGAAUUGGGGACCGAAGCUUCGCACAGCCCUACUGGGGUGGUGCAUGUCACAAGUUCAAGGCCAUAGCACAAGUGCUCAUGGCAUGGCCCUGUCAGAUUCCAACGAAACUGCAAAUUCUGCUAAAAUACCUUGUCACAAGGUCAUGAAAAAGGAAGUUUAUUUACACAUAAAGCCAUGGUCAUGCAGAGGUGUCAUAAAAACACCACAGGGAAAAAUGGUGUUUUAAUUGAUCUAUUACCAAAUAAAACUGGCCUCUAAGUCUUCUGUAGCAGAAUGGGAACCUGCCCCUUGGUGGGCUACAUAUCAGUUUAAUGAUAUGGCUUUUCUUUAGUAAUUCAUCACUCAAACAAAAACCAAACAAAUGAGGGGUAAAAAACAAGAGUUCAAUGUCUUGUAAUAAGCUCCCUCUGUUGUGGCAGCAGCUGCAGUUUCUCCUCUCAGAUUUCUUUUCUCUUGUUAGUCUGAAAGAAUCAGCAGCUGCUUAGGAAAUAUUCCAAAACAAAUUCAUUGAGAAGUUCCUGGUUCCUUUGCAGAUACUUGCUAGACAAAAUUAAGCUUCUGUGGUAGGGAAACAGAGACUGUAUCUUUAUUUUUGUAGACAGUCAAAUUCUGGCAAUCUGCUUGUUUAAAAAUAAACAACAACACAUCAAGAAUUAACUCAACAGGUCUAGAAGGUGUUAGAAGAUUCAGAAACCAGUUGUUCAGGGCAAAAAAGGGACAGAUUAUUUGCUUAAAUUACUUUAAGGGUCAUAUUUAAUCAAUUUUAAAUCCUUUGCUAAACCAUGCUGCUUUCCAUCUGGGAGUUUGUGGGAAUUGUGGUGCAUGUGACAUCAAUGCAAGAAUUUAUUUGAAAAAAGUGGGAUUCAGAAUGGUCUAAAACAGCCUUAACUUCAGGAUGAAUUAACGAUUGAGAACUGGUUCUGAUAACGUCAUGAUAAUUUUAGUUGGUGUUUUAUUGAUUGAGUUGUAAUUUGGUAUUGUGCUGGAAAAUUUUAGCCUAGUAUUAUGUCUACUCACAUACUGUGCUGUUAUUAAAAGCCAUUGGCAAGGGUGUAUUUAUGAUGUCUUUUAUUGGACCAGUGGCAUAGUUGGGAAAGAUGUUGAAUUGCUUUUGGGCACAAAGAGCUUUUUAAGCCAUUGUUGUUUUUCUCAAUUAGUUGCAGCUCUUCAAUUAUGAUUUCUAAACAGAAACCUUUCUCCAUGUACUGAAGGAUCUGAUAAUACAAAGACCAUACCUAACCACAAACUGGGAAGCCUCUAAAGAAUCUCUGUUACACAAGAAGAAGAGUAGGUAGCAUUGUUAUGGAUCAUGACUACCAUGACACCUAGGAACAGUCAACCUGGAGAGAGAGAGAGAGAGAGAGAGAGAGAAGGAUGUAGUACUUCUGGCAGCCAAGCUAGUUUAGUUGAAGGUAGCCUAGGUAUCUUUUUACUGGGUCCAUACAGGCAUGCACCAAGUUCUACACAAAUUCAUUUCCCUGCUGUGUGGGGUUCAGUUUAUAAUAACUCAAUUCAAAUGUCAACUUAACCCAAAAUAAGACUUUGUUGCACUACACAAACCAUGUGUGUCUAGGGGCUUUGUCCCCCAUCCUCUCAAACUAGAGAUGUGGGAUUCCAAAAUGUCUUUUAUAUCUACGUUCUGUUUUCAACAGAUCUGUUGCAGUCAAAUAAAAGAUGCCAGAUACUAGUGAAAAUAGACCCUGGGGCAAGUCACCUCUCUGACAGAUGUAGAUACUGCAGUUAGCAGGAGAUCCUGCUUCACUUUCUUUGGUUCUACUCAAAAUUCCCUCCUGAGGGGUUGCUUGUUCUGUCACUCUGGGAAGGGAACCCCUCCCCCCCCCCCCCCCCCCCAAAACAAAAAAUUGUGCCCAUGGUGCCCAGUACUCCCAGGUGCUGUAUGUUAGGCCAUAUGAACUCUAAAGAAUGUGAUAACAGAAUAACUGAGAUUUUGCCACUGGCUACUUGGUCGGUUAUUUUUAGGCAAUGGAAAAAUCCCAACUCUUCCUCCCCCUGUCAUAUUGAAAUGAAUUGAACAGCCUGAAACCUUAUAACUCUGUGUAAAUCAGCACAGCUGUAUUCUAAGAAGGCAUAUGAGUUUGUGCACACACGGUGCUCCUUUGUAAAUUAUUUUGACAAAAAUAAAAGGAUGAUUUGAAAACAG
Alligator mississippiensis (American alligator) is the source of this 3492-nucleotide long non-coding RNA. RefSeq lists it as uncharacterized. The transcript is spliced from 3 exons. NCBI's taxonomy places the organism in Eukaryota, Metazoa, Chordata, Crocodylia, Alligatoridae. The record is from RefSeq and is a predicted model, not a curated record.